RNAcentral lists this ribosomal RNA (936 nucleotides) under Tetraploa sp. RNAcentral describes it as "SSU rRNA". It matches the Rfam family "Eukaryotic small subunit ribosomal RNA", at positions 95 to 1036 of the family's 1831-position model. Lineage: Eukaryota; Fungi; Ascomycota; Dothideomycetes; Pleosporales; Tetraplosphaeriaceae. The record is from RNAcentral.
GGCUCAUUAAAUCAGUUAUCGUUUAUUUGAUAGUACCUACCAACUACAUGGAUAACCGUGGUAAUUCUAGAGCUAAUACAUGCUAAAAACCCCAACUUCGGGAGGGGUGUAUUUAUUAGAUAAAAAACCAAUGCCCCUCGGGGCUUCUUGGUGAUUCAUGAUAACUUAACGGAUCGCAUGGCCUUGCGCCGGCGACGGUUCAUUCAAAUUUCUGCCCUAUCAACUUUCGAUGGUAAGGUAUUGGCUUACCAUGGUUUCAACGGGUAACGGGGAAUUAGGGUUCGAUUCCGGAGAGGGAGCCUGAGAAACGGCUACCACAUCCAAGGAAGGCAGCAGGCGCGCAAAUUACCCAAUCCCGACACGGGGAGGUAGUGACAAUAAAUACUGAUACAGGGCUCUUUUGGGUCUUGUAAUCGGAAUGAGUACAAUUUAAACCCCUUAACGAGGAACAAUUGGAGGGCAAGUCUGGUGCCAGCAGCCGCGGUAAUUCCAGCUCCAAUAGCGUAUAUUAAAGUUGUUGCAGUUAAAAAGCUCGUAGUUGAACCUUGGGCCUGGCUGGCCGGUCCGCCUCACCGCGUGUACUGGUCCGGCCGGGCCUUUCCUUCUGGAGAACCGCAUGCCCUUCACUGGGUGUGUCGGGGAACCAGGACUUUUACUUUGAAAAAAUUAGAGUGUUCAAAGCAGGCCUUUGCUCGAAUACGUUAGCAUGGAAUAAUAGAAUAGGACGUGCGGUCCUAUUUUGUUGGUUUCUAGGACCGCCGUAAUGAUUAAUAGGGAUAGUCGGGGGCAUCAGUAUUCAAUUGUCAGAGGUGAAAUUCUUGGAUUUAUUGAAGACUAACUACUGCGAAAGCAUUUGCCAAGGAUGUUUUCAUUAAUCAGUGAACGAAAGUUAGGGGAUCGAAGACGAUCAGAUACCGUCGUAGUCUUAACCGUAAA